Long non-coding RNA from Mercenaria mercenaria, 1368 nucleotides. RefSeq lists it as uncharacterized. The record is from RefSeq and is a predicted model, not a curated record. The transcript has 8 exons. NCBI's taxonomy places the organism in Eukaryota, Metazoa, Mollusca, Bivalvia, Venerida, Veneridae.
UGACAACUUCCGUUACUUACGGCACAUUUUUGCAGGCAGAAAAAGUUGUUUUAGAGGAUACAUCAAGAACAGACCAGAUACCUCACAAGACAGAAAGUGUAUGUCUAGCAAAGCAUUCUAUGGUUGAAGCUCUAGUAUCAGGUUGUAAGUGUUUUGGUACAGACACAGAAGAGAGAAGGCGGCUAAAAAAACUGCAGUUCAGGUGUGAGUUGUUACAGUUUGAAGAAAAUGUGAUUGAAAAGUGAUUGUACUUUGUUCUGUAGGGAUGAAAAUCUGAUCUGAUACUUUGUUGUGGAAAGGGUAAAAUUCAUGUGGAACUCUGAAGAAGACAAAUACCAGAAACUUAGAGGGUUAGAAGUUAACAGUACAUGUUCAUAUUUCCAUGAGGCGAAAGGUUUGAGCUGCGAACACCAAAGCAAAAGCAUUCCAGAUUACAGGUCCAGAGUAUGAUAGGGAUUUGGGAAAGAAUUCCAUGCGUGGUUUGGGGACAGCCGGUUAGCAUUAUCUCUGGAUCUAAGUUCAAGCUCACAUGAAUUUUGCAGGGAAAUGUAUGAAGUUCAGUUGUAAUGGUAAUGAGAUGCAGGUCUUUGUCCUACAUGGUGAGCGAAACGGUAUAUGGCAUUUUUGGAAAACAUGUAAUAGAAGAUUUUGCUGACAUGGAGCUGGUGGACAUAGCUCAGAGUUGUGAGUCUGCUCUCAAGGCAUAUAAUAGCGAUUUGGUGGUUGAAUCCAUAGAAUAAGAGUGGAUCAGGUUUAAGAGGGAAAUUUACCACGGGUAAUAUCACUUAUGUACACACAUAUAUUUAUGAUAUAAAAUGAUAAUCCAGUAAAUCUUCAGCUGUAUUAUAAUAAUUAUGCCCCCUUCAAAGAAGGACAGAAUUAGACCAAUCUGUUUCUGGAUGAUAACUCAAGAACGCUUGGGCCUAGGAUCAUGAAAGUUGAUAGGGAGGUUGGUCAUUACCAGCAGAUGACCCCUUUUGAUUUUGAGGUCUGUAUGUCAAAGGUCAAGGUCACAGUGACCCUGAAUAGUAAAACAGUUUCCGGAUGGUGACUCAAGAACACUUGGGCCUAGGAUCAUGAAAGUUGAUAGGGAGGUUGGUCAUGUUCAGCAGAUGACUCCUAUUGAUUUUGAGAUUAGUAUGUCAAAGGUCAAGGUCACAGUGACCAGGAACAGUAAAAUGGUUUCCGGGCAAUAACUCAAGAACGCUUGAGCCUAGUGUCAGGAAAAUUGAUAGUAAGGUUGGCCAUGAUCAGCAGAUGACCCUGUUGAUUUUGAGGUCAUUAGCUUGAAGGUCAAGGUCACAUUGGCCAGGAACAAUUAAACGGUUUCUGAUCUUCUUGUCCAAAACCAUUGGCCAUAGGGCUUUG